UCAAGCGAACAAGGGCGCAGGGCGAAUGCCUUGGCACUGGGAGCCGAUGAAAGACGUGAUAAGCUGCGAUAAGCUUCGGGGAGCUGCAAAUAAGCAUUGAUCCGGAGAUUUCUGAAUGAGGAAACUCACCUGGGUUCAUACUCAGGUACGUUGUACUGAAAUUCAAAAUAGGUACAUCGAGGGAACCGCCUGAACUGAAACAUCUAAGUAGGGCGAGGAAGAGACAUCAAACGAGAUUCCGUAAGUAGUGGCGAGCGAACGCGGAAGAGGGCAAACCGAGAGUAGAAAUACUUUCGGGGUACGGACUGCUUUUAAGACUGAAUCUGUUAACCGAACGGCAUGGGAAGGCCGGUCAGAGAGUGUGAGAACCACGUAGGUGAAAACGGAGAGAGCUGCGCAGGAUCCAGAGUACGGCCAGACACGUGAAACCUGGUCGGAAUACGGGGGGACCACCCUCCAACCCUAAAUACUACCCAGUGACCGAUAGCGUAUAGUACUGUGAAGGAAAGGUGAAAAGCACCCCGGGAGGGGAGUGAAAAAGAACCUGAAACCCUGUGCCUACAAGCACCUAGAGCGCGUCAAUGCGUGAUAGGGUACUUUUUGUAGAACGGUCCGGCGAGCGAUUGUAUGCAGCAAGGUUAAGGACUUAAGGUCUGGAGCCGAAGCGAAAGCGAGUUUGAAAAGGGCGUUAAGUUGCAUAUAAUGGGCCCGAAACCGGGUGACCUACCCAUGGUCAGGUUGAAGUGGAAGUAAAAUUCCAUGGAGGACCGAACCGACCUCCGUUGAAAAGGCGGCGGAUGAACUGUGGGUAGCGGAGAAAUUCCAAUCGAACCCGGAGAUAGCUGGUUCUCCCCGAAAUAGUUUUAGGACUAGCCUCAAGUUAGAUACCUGGAGGUAAAGCACUGAAUAGCCUAGCGGCCGAGAGGUUAGCGAAGCUUAUCAAACUCAGAAUGCCAGAGUAUUGAUGCUUGGGAGUCAGACAGUGUCAGAUAAAUGUCAUUGUCAAAAGGGAAACAGCCCAGAUCUACAGCUAAGGUCCCAAAGUCAGGUUAAGUGGAAAACGAUGUGAAGAUACGCAGACAACCAGGAUGUUGGCUCAGAAGCAGCCACUCAUUCAAAGAGUGCGUAAUAGCUCACUGGUCGAGCGUCUUUGCGCGGAGAAUUUAACGGGGCUAAACCUGACACCGAAGCUUAGGCAAUACAGCAAUGUAUUGGGUAGGGGAGCGUUGUAUACGCGGAGAAACAGUAGCGCAAGCGGCUGUGGAGUGUAUAGAAGUGAGAAUGCCGGAAUGAGUAGCGCGAAUGCAGUGAGAAUCUGCAUGGCCGAAAGCCUCAGGUUUCUGGAGGAAGGUUCGUCCGCUCCAGGUUAGUCGGGAGCUAAGGUGAGGCCGAAAGGCGUAGCCGAUGCACAGACGGUAGAGAUUCCGUCACCACCAAAAGAGUUAAGCACAGGGACACAUUUGAAGUCUCAGAGCCGGGUGUUGGUUCCGGUAGAGAUCGAGGGAAAUUAGUACCGAAGUCUGAGAUGGAAGAUGGCGAGAAAAGCUGUGUGUAUUUCUGAGGUGCCCGUACCGCAAACCGACACAGGUAGGUAGGAAGAAGAUUCUAAGGCCAACGGGAGAAGGGUUGUUAAGGAACUCGGCAAAUUGACCCCGUAACUUCGGGAGAAGGGGUGCUCCAGAGAUGGAGCCGCAGAGAAUCGGCCCAAGCAACUGUUUACCAAAAACACAGGUUUGUGCUAAAUCGAAAGAUGACGUAUACGAGCUGACGCCUGCCCGGUGCUGGAAGGUUAAGAGGAGAUGUGCAAGCAUUGAAUCGAAGCCCCAGUGAACGGCGGCCGUAACUAUAACGGUCCUAAGGUAGCGAAAUUCCUUGUCAGGUAAGUUCUGACCCG
This 1894-nucleotide ribosomal RNA is filed under the name human gut metagenome. Its description in RNAcentral is "bacterial LSU rRNA". It matches the Rfam family "Bacterial large subunit ribosomal RNA", at positions 3 to 1990 of the family's 2925-position model. The record is from RNAcentral.